UACAGAGGUCCCAAGCGUUGUUCGGAUUCACUGGGCGUAAAGGGUGCGCAGGUGGGUUGGCAAGUUUGAUGUGAAAGCCCCGGGCUUAACCCGGGAAUGGCAUUGAAUACUGUCGAUCUGGAGGAUUGGAGGGGGGACUGGAAUUCUUGGUGUAGCAGUGAAAUGCGUAGAUAUCAAGAGGAACACCAGUGGCGAAGGCGAGUCCCUGGACAAUUCCUGACACUGAGGCACGAAAGCUAGGGGAGCAAACAGG
This 253-nucleotide ribosomal RNA is filed under the name uncultured bacterium. RNAcentral's name for it is "partial 16S ribosomal RNA". It matches the Rfam family "Bacterial small subunit ribosomal RNA", at positions 524 to 776 of the family's 1533-position model. The record is from RNAcentral.